UACGGGGGGGGGCAAGCGUUGUUCGGAAUUACUGGGCGUAAAGGGCUCGUAGGUGGCCAACUAAGUCAGACGUGAAAUCCCUCGGCUUAACCGGGGAAUUGCGCUCGAAACUACGGAGCUGGAGUAUGGCAGAGGGAGGUGGAAUUCCACGUGUAGCGGUGAAAUGCGUAGAGAUGUGGAGGAACACCAAUGGCGAAGGCAGCCUCCUGGGCCAAUACUGACACUCAUGCACGAAAGCGUGGGGAGCAAACAGG
Molecule: ribosomal RNA, 254 nt
Filed under: uncultured bacterium
Lineage: Bacteria
Description: partial 16S ribosomal RNA
Rfam family: Bacterial small subunit ribosomal RNA
Source: RNAcentral